AUUCACUGGCAACACUGCUCCCGCACCACUCCGCACUUUAGUUCGGCGUUGGGAUCCACUUGAGACGGACGUGCGCGUAUUCUUUACGUACAGAUACACCAGUAUCUAUAUUGUUUGUGUCUGUGUUGCCUGAUGUAAGAAGGACUACUGGAAAAUGCCGAGUUCUAUUGAAAAACCACCCACGAUACCCACGUGCGACAUGGAGCACGUAGACACCCUGAAGAGAUGCCGCGCGGAGCUGACCGCAUACUUUACCAAGGACCUGCCGAGCUGCAUACAGCUCAUGCAAAUCUGGGCGCGGUCUGCCAGGUGCCACCCGUCGAAGCACACCGUGGAAGAGUACAUCGCGCCCGUGAUCCCGAUC
Molecule: long non-coding RNA, 364 nt
Organism: Papilio polytes (common Mormon)
Lineage: Eukaryota; Metazoa; Arthropoda; Insecta; Lepidoptera; Papilionidae
Exons: 3
Source: RefSeq, a predicted model, not a curated record